AUGUAUGGGAAAUACCACAAGGUUGAAUCACGCAAUGCCAAAAUUGGGAAGCUUCACAAACCUAGGACAGAGUGGAGUGGACGAUUCAUCACUCCACAACUGUCUCUUCCCGUGCCCAUUCCUUCACUCUACCUACCACCAACUCCUCUUUCCCUUUUCAUCAUCACUCUUAAUUCUAUAUCUAUCUAUAUAUCUAUCUAUUCAACUUUCCACACUCUCAAAAUUCAACUUUCCCUUCCAUUUCUAGGGAGAUGA
Molecule: non-coding RNA, 255 nt
Organism: Vicia faba (fava bean)
Lineage: Eukaryota; Viridiplantae; Streptophyta; Magnoliopsida; Fabales; Fabaceae
Source: the annotation of a GenBank genome assembly